GAUCAACUGUGAAUAUGUGUGAAUAGUAGGGAUGGCUUGGUGGUCAAAUCCUUGGCCUCCUUUGUGCCGGGAGUGGGUGGCAGGUUGUGUGCUCCCUUCCCAGCAAACCCAAACCCCGGCACAGAAUGUGCCAAGGAACCAAAAUUAUUCCACUGCCCCCCCGUUGGCACCGGAGACGGUGCCCUCGCGGGACGUGUGAUGCAUGAUAAUAUAUAAACGAUUAUCGGCAACGGAUAUGUAGGCUCUUGCAUCGAUGAAGAAAGUAGAGAAAUGUGAUACUUGGUGUGAAUUGCAGAAUCCCGUGAACCAUGGAGUUUUUGAACGCAAGUUGCGCCCAAAGCCAUUAGGUGGAGGGCUCGUCUGCGUGGGCGUCACAUAUUGUUGCCCUGUGCCCCAUGCUUAUUGAUAGGCACCGUGCAGGGCGAAUGUUUCUUUAUCAUUUAGAGGAAGGGAAGUCGUAACAAGGUUUCCUAGGUGAACAGGGAAGGAUCAUAGAGGAUGGUUCAGGGAUCCACGAGACCGGUCAUGUGCAGCUCUACUAGAUUUGGCCUCUAUGACCCACUUGCGUCCUUGGAUGCUCAUGA
RNAcentral lists this ribosomal RNA (584 nucleotides) under Onobrychis transcaucasica. Its description in RNAcentral is "eukaryotic LSU rRNA". The stretch from base 219 to 374 matches the Rfam family "5.8S ribosomal RNA". Lineage: Eukaryota; Viridiplantae; Streptophyta; Magnoliopsida; Fabales; Fabaceae. The record is from RNAcentral.